RNAcentral lists this ribosomal RNA (328 nucleotides) under uncultured archaeon. RNAcentral describes it as "bacterial SSU rRNA". It matches the Rfam family "Archaeal small subunit ribosomal RNA", at positions 317 to 649 of the family's 1478-position model. The record is from RNAcentral.
GAUUCCCUACGGGGUNCNGCAGGCGCGAAAACUUUGCAAUGCGGGAAACCGUGACAAGGGAACUCUGAGUGCCCGUAAAAUCGGGCUGUCCAUCAGUUUAAAUAACUGGUGAAGAAAGGGCCGGGCAAGACCGGUGCCAGCCGCCGCGGUAAUACCGGCGGCUCGAGUGGUGGCCACUAUUACUGGGCUUAAAGCGUUCGUAGCUGGUUUGUUAAGUCCCUGGGGAAAUCUUCCGGCUUAACCGGAAGGCGUCUCAGGGAUACUGGCAGACUAGGGACCGGGAGAGGUGAGGGGUACUCCAGGGGUAGGAGUGAAAUCCUGUAAUCCA